ACGGGUGAGUAACACGUAGGCAACCUGCCCACCAGACGGGGAUAACGACCGGAAACGGUAGCUAAUACCGGAUAGAUCCUGUCGCCGCAUGGCGAGAGGAAGAAAGGCGGCUUGGGCUGUCGUUGGUGGAAGGGCCUGCGGCGCAUUAGCUAGUUGGUAGAGUAACGGCCUACCAAGGCGACGAUGCGUAGCCGACCUGAGAGGGUGAACGGCCACACUGGGACUGAGACACGGCCCAGACUCCUACGGGAGGCAGCAGUAGGGAAUCUUCCGCAAUGGGCGCAAGCCUGACGGAGCAACGCCGCGUGAGUGAAGAAGGUUUUCGGAUCGUAAAGCUCUGUUGCCAGGGAAGAACGACUUUUGGAGGAACUGCCAGAAGAGUGACGGUACCUGAGAAGAAAGCCCCGGCUAACUACGUGCCAGCAGCCGCGGUAAUACGUAGGGGGCAAGCGUUGUCCGGAAUUAUUGGGCGUAAAGCGCGCGCAGGCGGCCGUUUAAGUCCGGUGUAUAAGCCCGGGGCUCAACCCCGGAUCGCACGGGAAACUGGAGGGCUUGAGAACAGCAGAGGAGAGUGGAA
This 577-nucleotide ribosomal RNA is filed under the name uncultured bacterium. Its description in RNAcentral is "bacterial SSU rRNA". It matches the Rfam family "Bacterial small subunit ribosomal RNA", at positions 102 to 666 of the family's 1533-position model. The record is from RNAcentral.